AAGCUAUGAAUGUUGUUACCUGAAGCCUUGAUGAAAUAUGAACUUCAGGGGAACCCACAGAAGUACCAUGCCUCCUGAUCUCAAAAUCCUGAAUUGAACUAACGGAUGGUCGAAGAGAUGAAUCUACAGCUGAAAUAUGCGAAGCUGGAACUUUCUCAAGAAAUAAUGGCUGUCCAUCCAUUUGAUGACAAACCCACAAGAAAAAUUUGAAGAAGAAGCUAAAUGUUAAUGAUUUUCGAAAUUCAACCAUCCCACCAGGUGCAUCUUCUUUCAGCACAAUUUCCUUCUCCAGAAUUUUCAAAGAAUCCUGUAGCAGCUCUUUGUUCCAACUUUUCCCGAUUAAGAAGUCACUAGUUUUUGAUGCAGCAAAUGAAAGUGGAGCAACCCCACCAUAUACAAUCAAAGCAUCUGAAACUACCCAUUUCUUGUCCUUCUCUUCAAGGCAGACACGCAUUCCGGCAUUGACGAUGGCAAUAUCAUCAUCUCUCCUAUGAGAUUGUUUAAAUUCUUUCACAAACUCGAAUGGCUUAUUCCAAGGCAAUGAUACUGACAGUAAAAUUUCACUACUUGUCAGAUCCACUUUACGAUAGCCCCGGAAGAAAUUUUUAGCCAGACAUGUUCUGACAUUUCCUUUGCAGUCAAUUAUUCGAAACUUCGCUCCUGUUGCCAUCCAAAGAGGGUUCAAAUCUGAUAUUGGGCUCGCAGUGCAGAUAUUCCCACCAACUGAUGCAACAUUUCGUAUUUGUGUUCCAGCAAACCACUUUAUCUGUUCGAUGAGAGCUCGACAUGAUGAUGUUUCGUACUCGGGGCGGUUAUUUCUUACCUUCUUUAAUACAUCCACAAGCUGUGACAACUUAACUCCAGCACCUAUUUCUAAGCCAUCAUCCUCAACACUUAUAUGGUUAAGUUCCGGAACAUGUGCAACAGAUAUUAAUAUAGGAUAGUGAAUACCUUUAAGCCUGACUUCAAUUCCCACCUCUGUAUUUCCAACAACUAACCGGGCAUCUGGAAAUCUUGCUUUUAAAUCCAACAGAUGUUGAAAUUUUACGGGCCUAUACCACUUCCGUCCAUUUGAUCCACUUAAACUUAAAUAAGUCAAUUUCCUUAAUAAAAGUUCAGGAGGAAAAAUAAGUUCUUUGCUGGUGUAUGUGGUUCCAUCGGUUUCGUUGUAAGAAAACGGCUUCCAGCCACAAUCAUUGCUUAAAUUUUGUUUGAUGGUUUCUUCACUAUUUUCAGCCUUCGGCCCACAUGAACAAGGCUUACCCGUUGAAGGACAAAUAAAUUCACCAGUAUUAAUGUCUUGUAAAGAUGUGUUGGUGUAUAAAGCAUUAUUUGUUUUUGCAAAUACCCGAAAUGCGUCAACAAUUGGCCUAUAACCAGUACAUCGACAUAAAUUUCCGGCAAGGCUUUCUUCAAUUUGUUCUUCUGUAGGCUGUUCUUUAGAUGAUCGUAGUAAUGCAUACAUGGACAUGACGAAACCAGGAGUACAGAAUCCACAUUGUGAACCAUGCGAGCGAGCCAACGAUUCCUUUAGAAUGUCGUUGAAAAGCAGAGGAGUUACAAGAAUGUUGCAUACAUCAUGAUCCAUAAAAGGUACUAUUUGAAUUAACAAAUGACGUUGAAAAAACAUGCGAAAAUCAUGGGACAUGUGAAACCAACUAAUGUACCUGAAUUGGGUGCAAUCCAGCUUUGCGGUUCCCAAUUCCCUCCACUGUGAUGACAUGCAUCCCUUCCACAGAAUAUAGAGGAGCCAAGCAUGCAUUUACUGCAUGGUGCCUAUAGAGAAAAUACAACUUUAUAAACUGAAUAUGAUUUAUGGAAAUUUUUAAUAGUCAUAUACUAACUGAAUGGGAGGGAUGCACUGGGGGCCAAUCAAAUCAAGCAGACUUCAAGUUUACCAAUUUAUUGCUUGCUAAUAAAUUAUUAUGAUUAUAUUCUUUUAUCUCUUAACUAGGGAUGGAAAAAUGGGUAAUUUAUAUGGGCACCUAUUCAAAUUACCCAUCUUAAAUGAGUUGGGUGCCCAUACAAAUUACCCAUCUUAAAUGAGUUGGAUACCCAACUCAUUUAAAAUGAGUAAAAAACGAGUCAAACUCAUUUUACCCAUUUAAAAGUGGGUAGUUAAAUGGGUAAAGGAGACUCAUUUAUAAAAGAAAGAAAAGUGACAUUAAUAUUUUUUUAAGGUGUAGGUGGUCGGGGUAGGGAUGGGUGGGAUAAGGAAAAAAAUCGUUUUUUUUUAAAACAAAUUUUUUUUUUGGAAGGGGCUGGGGAAGAGGGGUCGGAGUAGUAACAAAAAAUUCAUUUUUGAGGCGUUGGAGUUGGGGGUGGGGAUGGGCAGGUUAAAUUUAAAAAGUUUUGAGUAUUUUUGUUUGGGGGGGGGGGGCGGGCAGUGGGGGUGAGGUAAGAGAUUUUGCUUUUAAAGCUUUUAACAUGAUCCCUAUAUGGAUACCCAUAUUAUCCAUUGGGUAACUCAUUUUUACCCAUUUCAAAUAUGAGUCCAGUUGAGUAUUUUACCCAUUUUUAUACUUAUUUUCGAUCGACUCAUAUUCGACUCGACCAGCUCGUUUGCCAGUCCUACUCUUAACUAACCAUAUUUUUUGUUGAAGUGUGUGACCAUCUCAUCUAAAAGCUUUUGUCUGCUCUAAUACCAUGUUGAAGUGUGUUUCGAUCUCAUCUAAUAGCUUAAGCUGUUAGAGAGAACACACUUUAUAUUAGUUAAUUAUAUUCUCAACAUUUUUCAACUAGUUUCUCUGUACUCUCUUAGUCAAAUACAUUUGCCAAAGACUCGCAUCACCACCACUCCAACCAUCCCAACCAGAGAACUUAUAGCAGAAUAAGAUAUCAUCUCAAAGCCAGGAUAAGCAGUGUUACAGAAAGCUCAUGCUCAAUGGAUACUAGAAUGAAGACUAUAUAUCUAGCAUGAUAAUUGUUCAUUUCAGGUUUCAGUAGUAGCGGUCUCAUAUUUUUUCUCGUGGUGGUGCUUUCUUUUGGGCAUGGGGCUUACGUACUUGUCAAGGAUUCACAUAGUAAUCAUAAGAAAUAUGGAUGCUUUAUUCAUUUUUUAAGUAACCUUCCCAACUGACUUCUAGGUUAAACUAGUAUUAGGUCAGGCCAACGCCAAAGGGUUCACAACCUGUAACUAGUCUGCUAGAACAGAUACAGAGUGAUAAGGUCUCUGAACUUUCCACCUCCCCGAUUCUAAAGAAAGCUUGUUUCGUUCGUUGAAGGAUACAAAAUCAAUUGAGGAUAAAGAACAUUUAUUCAAUCAGCAGCCAUCUUCUAGAACUAUGCGGAGAGCUAUCUGCUAUCCAUCUUGACAGCUAUCAUACUUCUUUAGAUGUUAAACAGACAUCAGUUUACAGGAAUGAAAACGUAUCUCCUACAAUUACCGAAGACCCACCUAACUGACUUCCUCCGCUCAUGCAUGGCUGAGUAACAGACAAACAAAUAGUACUAAGAGCGACAGAAGUAAAAGGAUGACAAAGGCGAAAGCUUUACUGCCUGAUACAAUCAAUAACUUCAUUCCCUACCACCCAAAAUGAAAGUGAGUAACAAUUUGGGGAUUCAAAAACUAACGAGAAAGAUCUCAGCUCUCAGAGUAAUCACACAACUGAUCAGAAGAAAAACAUCCCACAGAUCAAGACAUGGAUCACACCUAUCCAGCACAAAUUAUAACCCAUGCAAAUGCAAACAAGUGCAGAACUCAUUGCUAUCCACUAAAUCAUGCAUAAACCUGCACACCCCAAAAGAAGAUAUAAGAGAGACUUGGAGACGUAGGUGGAUAGAGAUGGAAAGAGACUCACACACAUUUCUUCAAAUUCUGAUCAAAAAAAGAAACCAUUACAGUGCAUGCCCCACACCCACCUUCACCACAGCCUAGCUUGGUGCCUGUCAGGCCUAUUUCUGCAUAGCCACAGAGAAAGAGCAACUUCAGAUAAACCACCAAAACACAAUCAGAGAGAGACUGAGAGGAUAAAAUCCAGAUCAAUCAUCUGAACAGAAAUAAAAACUACAACUUCCUGAAGUAUUGGGCAACAUAGACUCGUAAGAGGUGUAGUGAGUUCUCAAGACAAUGUAUAAAACAUAUUCAUUAAAAAGUACCAACAACUGCAUAAAAGCUACAGAUUGGCAGCAACUCGAAAAUGGACUCAACAAAUUUUUAUCACUAUAUGUAUACAACUGCAUAACUAAAGGGUAAGUACAAACACAUCAAUUGCUCAGCCAGCAAGCCACAAACUGUAUGAAAAUGGAGAUUGAAUUGAUCAGAUGAUGCCCAAGUCUAACGAAUAGAAAAGUGAGAGAAGGAAGUAAUUGGUUGUUAAUGUUGAAAUAUACAAAAUAUAUGUACUGAACAAUAAAGGUCUUAAGAUCCAACCUGCACCAAUUUACAAGAUCAAACACCAGCAGAAGUUAAGACUACAGAAAAUAUAAUUAACUGUAUGUCACUGAACAGUUGGAAGUCAUCCCGGUACGUCAACAUUAGCUAACCCACUAAUAUUACUAUUUAAUAUAAGGGACUAUCACAAACUUCUGUCAUACUCUCAAUAACACAUAUCUACUAUCUACAUCUUUUUUUAUAAAUAUAAUUUUCGAAUAAUUCUUCCUCCUCUUGAUCCAAUCUUUUAAAGUUACUUCACCUAUCAUCCUUGGUAAUGGUCAACUUUUUCAAAAGCACGCGAACUCCUCAAUCUCCUGCUUACAGCAUGUUUGAUCAAUUUUGUAAAAAUCUGUUAACUUUGAAAAAUAUUUUCUAUUUUUUUAUAGUAAUAAUUUGUAUUCGGCUAAUCAAAUUUACUUUUACCAAUAUUAAAACAGUAAUUUAUGCUUGAUAAAGUUUCCGAAAAUGCUUCUGGGAAUUUUUAAACUUUUGGAAAAUAUCUUCUGUUACUAUUCAAAAACGCUUAUUUUGCUCCUAUAAGCUAUAUAAAUCACCUAAACUCUCUACAAUAAGCACUUUUAAUUCUUGGAACUUAGCCAAACACGUUUUCAAUCUUCCUUGUCAUUUUCUACUUAAGACAUAUCAAGUUGUCUUUAGUAGUGUACAACUACUAUCACUCAAUCAAAAGUCAGUGCUCUACUUUUUUUAAAAGCUACUAUUCCUUCAACUUAUCUCUACAUACUACCUCCAUUUUGAUUUGUUUGUCAGAUAUUAACUUGGAAAUUCUUCCGGGCCACGUAAGUGGAUAAAGCACAGAGUACCAGAGAGAACGUUAAGAAACCCGAAAAUAUACUAAACAUAUGAAAUCCACAGAUUAAACCUAGCUGGAGAAAGCAUAGUCCUUUCAGUAUUUAGAUUUACACUAAUAAAAAUUACCCAAAUUGAACAUUUACCAUAGAAACAAAACAGGAAUACAGCUCAGCACAAGUACGUCCAAGCUUAAUCAAAUCCCAAACUUGAAAAUUUGAGUUUUUAAAGUUAUGAUUUUCAAAAACCUGAUGUUGUCUGGACAUGCAUAUUAAAGUUUUAUGGACAAAAGUGAAAUUUCUCCCCAAAAACUGGCUUAAAGAUCAAAUUUUUAAUAUCUAAUCAAAUUUCAUGGUCAAUAUCUUGAUCCAAAAUCAAUAGUCAAAUGCCAACUUAGUUCAUUGUUCAUCUAAAACUGUUUCUGACAAGAAAAAAAGAGAAAAAACCCACAAAACUAAACUUAAAAACUAACCUCUAAGAUAUUCAAGAAGAGUCAAAUGGGCUAAUCCAUCAGGUAACACUCGACGAACUCCAUUAACAUACAAAAUUGCUUCCUUUGAUUCCUCUUCUAUCCUUUCCUCCUUCAUCAUAGAACCCAUUUUUUCCAGAAAAGGAAAAAAAAUCAGCGAUGAAAAAGUGUUGGGGUUUGAUUCGGCUAAAAAAAGAUCCAAUAAGUAUUAAGUAGUAGUAAGAGAUUUUGUUGUAGAAAUCAGAGUCGGUAUGACUACAAUUUUGUGGUUACCUAUUGUUUCAUAACUAUCAAGAUUUGUUGUGGAAAUUAGAGUCAACUUUCACUAAAUUUUUGUGUUAACGCUGUUAAGUAUUGUUUUAUAAUAUAUCUAAAUUUUGUUGUGGGAAUCAGAGUCAGCUUUCACUAGAACUUUGUUUGGAUGGCGGUUACAUAUUGUUUCAUAAUGUAUCUAGUAAGAUUUUUGUUGUAAAAAUCAGAAUCGGUUUCUACUAAAACUUUGUUUGUUUGGAUGGCGGUUACGUAUUGUCACAUAAUAUUACACAUUUAUAAUAUGAAUGGUAAAUCUGCCAAAAAAAGAAGGAUAUAGAGUAGAGCUACUAUGAAAACGUAAGAUAAAAUGAAAUAUGAUUAUUAAAUAUAAUAAAUAAAAGAAAAAAUGAGAAAAAAUAUAUUAAGAUAACGACAUAAUCAUUGUUACAUAAAUUGGAUUUUUUCAUCAUUACCUGGUUGAAUUUAAACGAUGCGAUACAAUAAAAUUUAAAUAACAAUUAAAAUAAAUAUUAUAUUUAAAUUAACAAUACAAUAUAAUACGUCUUAUAACAAUCAUCCAAAACAAGGGGUAAGAUGAUAGACACAAGCUACGUACUAUAUAUAGGGUUGGAUCAAUGAUUCCGAUAAGUAUUAUUAUUUAAUAUUAAGAGAUAAAAUACAAGGAAAAGGUUCUCUUCUUCUAAAAAUAACAGAUAAAAAUAAUAUAGGUUAAUUUCCUCCUUGAUUGAUAGUAAUGUUGUUAAAAAUAUGGUCAAAUGGAUGACCAUAACUCCUAGGUUUAUUUCUUUUGUUAUAGGUAGUAAUUCUCAAGGUUUAAUGUAAUAUUUAUGACACCCUUUGAUAUUCCUCAACAUAAUCCUAUAAAUAGUGGUGUUAAGAAUAAUGUUGAAUACACUCCAAGAAAGAAAGUUAUCUUAUAUUGUUCCUCUUGUCUUUUAUUUUUUUGUCUAAUCUUUAUAUUGUUCUUUUGUUCUUAAAUUUUACAACAUAUUAUUUAAUAUAGUUGACAAAUAAAAAUAAGGGAGAAAAGUAUGGUAUUUUAUUUUUUAAUCUUGUGAGAACAUGUUAGGUGAGAUUAUCUGAAUUAAAAAGUAAUUUGAUUGGAUCUUAUUAUUAAAAAAAAAUAGGAUAACUCUUUACCUCGUGAUGUUAAGCGUAUUAUUUUAAAUGUUAAAUUUCAGAAUUAUAAAUAAGUAUAUAAAUAAGUAUUAAUUUAAACAAAUUAAAAAAGGUAAGACACAUAAAGUUAUAAGAAAGUAUAUAAAAAAUAAAAACACUUCAACUAAAAUAACAGUCAAUUUUUAAAAUACUAUCUUCAAAUUUGAAAACUCAGCCAAAAUCAACUAGAAAUUCAUAUGAAAAGUAUAUGAAAAGUGGAAAGCUUUCGAAUCAAAAGUUGAAUUACGAUUUUAUCCAUACUAUAAAUUAAAAUAUUAUAAAAUAUCUAAGAAAUGAAAUAUUAAAUAGUACUUAUAUCAUAUUUAGAUAAUUCAUUUGUCAAUCAAAAUAGAAGACAAAAAAUGGUUCUUUCAAUUCUAACAAAAAUAAAAAAAAGGUCCAUAGAAUGUUUUUGAUUGUUUUGGAAACAUUUAUUUAUUAUUGAAAUUUAAUACAUUAGAUGUAUGGGUUACUAAUAGGGAUUUUAAAACGUCAUAAUUUCUUGUGUUGACCGUAAGUUUAUCUCUUUAAAUUUUUUUUCCUUAAUAUACUUUGUAUAAGCAUUUAGUAUAUGAAACUAAUUAAAAUAUAUUUUCCAUGUUAAUUUCUUUUGUUUUUUUUAAAAUAUAUUUUUAGACAGAUAGUUAUGGGAUGGGAGCCAUAAUUAAUUUAUAAUUUCAAAAUAUAGGUAUGAAUCAUACACAUAUAAUUUUGUAUAUGAAGAUUCUGCUGAAAAUUGUGUAAAGGUAAAAUUUUGAAUUAAUGAAAUCAAUAUUUGAUUUUGUGAUGUAUAUUUACGAUAACGAAAUUACUUAACAUAGCCCGUCUCCAAUUACAAUAAAGGAAUUACUCAAUCUAGCAAUCGAAAUGACUUAAGAACAUGUACCAAUGAUAUCAUCUCUAUAAUAUAUUAGGUGAGAUAUAUUUAAUUACAUGUUCUUACCUUAUUUAAAAAAAAAUCCGCAUGUUCCUAGUAAAAAAAUACUAUUUUUUUAUCUUAAUAAUAAAUACGAUAUUCAUGCAUUUUUACUGCAAAAACAACUCAUUCUAUAGUAAUUCAUAUCCAUUUUGCAUAUUAUUCUUUCAUGAUUAUUAUUUAAUGCAUACUAUAUUAUACAAGUCGAUAUAUAUGUUGCGUCGCGUGUUUUUCCAACUCAACAUUAUCAAAUGUCACAUAAGUUCGGUCAAUGGUCAUAGAGAUUUAAAACAUUGUGUUCUAAUGAGUUUAGGGAUUUAGUUGACAAAUUGAUAAGUAGGAAGGUCCAACUUACAAAUGUAGCCAAGUACAGAGCUCUCCCAGGUCAUUUUCAUAUAUAAAAACACACUACCCAAGAUAAUGAUAAUUAACUCUUCGAAAGUAAGUUUUUCACGUAAAAAUUUUUGAAAUGUUGUAGGGUCAUUUCUUCCAUUCAUAUAUUACAAGUGUUCGAAACAAUAAUGAAGCAUCUUUAUUACACGUUAUUAUAAAGUGUUGCAUAAUGUCACGGGAAAAUGUAAAGAAGACAUCAUAUGAAGCUCUAAGAACUUCACUUAUUCAGUACAGUUCAACCAUCAAACACUUAGCUUUGGGCGAAAAUCAGAAUCCACAACUAGUCUUGUAAAUUCAUCGGUACAAGCCAUUCGAAUACGCUCUGGAGUAGCUGGAUUAUCAAGAGGGAACCAGUCGUUGUAACCAGAUUCCAUCCUUGCAGAUUUUAUGGCAUUCGUGAUGGCGAAAAGGACAGAUGAUGCAAGAAAGAAGGGUGGUUCCCCUACUGCUUUAGAAAAAUGGAUAGCCUUGGCGUUUGGGGCAUUCUGUUGGCAAAUGUCAAGCAGAUUGUUAAAGGCAAAGUCAAGAUAUGGUGUGCAGAUGCAUAUGUACUUCCAAAUAGAAAUAGGGAUAUUAUUAUUGAUAAGCCGAAAAAUUAUUCAAGAAUAAAGGAACAACAAUAUAGUAGUUCAAGUACAAUUGUACUAGGAUUAUAAGCAGUUAAAGAAAUGGUGCAUAGCAGCUCAUUGAUGGAGAUAGCAGUGAAACUUACUUUCAAAAGAGAGACAUUAAAUUUGGAAGGUACAUCAUUCAAAUUGGAAUCUUGUAACUUCCAGGUCCAGAUGUGAAUAAGUAUCCAGGUGAAAUCCACUUGUGUGCUUUAUCGCCCCAUUUCAGCUCUUCUAAUGCAAACCAUCCCAGACCCUGUAGAAAACCUCCUUCUACCUGCAUCAAGUUUAUAAGGAGUAUGCACGAAUGUUAGCAAAACUCCAUUUCAGAUUGAAAGAUGCAAAGAUCCUGUGAGAUAGUGGUUCUAGUUCUAUCUAAAUAUAGACAAAACUGCAAGUCCGCAAAAGAGGGAGGUAAUGGUGUUCUACAAAAUGUAUCCAAGUCAUCUUUGUAGAUAUCAUACAUUAGGAGAAAAGAAGAAUAAAAUGCAGAUCUGAUAAUCCCUGUCAAGCUCAGUACAAACAAAUCGAGACCUUCUCUAAUUCCAGGAAAGGUAGGUAGGCAUUAGAAAUCGGAUCUCUGUUCUUUUUUCUUGUUUACCAUUCAAAAUGAAGAUUACUCAUACAUUACCUACACGUUGAUAGAUCUGAAAAAAGCCACAACUUGCAGCUUCAAUCAUCAAUCACUUCAGCAUUUACUACUCGAUAGUAUAGUUUUAAAUUCAUAUAGUUAAAUUAUUUCAUCAAGCAUACCAGUUAAACAAAUGACAAAAAUCAAAAUGUAUACAUAAACUGUACAGAGAGAACAACAAUGACCUGUCCAACAUCAAUCGCUGGAUUGAGGGAGAACCCAACAUCUACGAGAAGAUCUGCUCGCCUAGUAUGGAAAUCGCCUGUCAAUGUGUCGAUUUCAACUUCGGAAAAUGAAGCACCACUGGUGUAGUACCUAAAUACAUUGCCUUUUCCAGAUUUCCAAUCAAAGCCAAUAUCAGGUGUAACGAAGAACCCAUGAGCAGAAAGGUCUAUUCUCUCCAUGUAGCACGCAUUGACAAGCUGAUAGUUAAUCAAAGACAAGACAUGUGGUUAGUGGUCAAUGUUCCUUUUUAUCAUCAUGAUUCAUGACAGAGCUGUAGAAGAAGGCAGUGCAAAUUUCAGAGUCAAUUUUUGAGGUAGAAACACAAUUUAAGUCAGAUAAAUAAAGAAUUAUGUUCUGAUGAUGAAGGGGAGAUAAAAAAUAUGCAUAAUAAUCCAUCGGGGCUUGGUAAUAGUAUACAGUGUAAUUACACAAGAACAUGGCAUAUAAAGAAAUUUUACUAUUUGCGGCCAGAAGCUUUAUUGGAAAAUGAAAUAUACCAGAAAAUCCUUGUGCUCCAUUACCAAAAAUCCUUCAUGGUAUAGAAUUGUGAAUUCCUAGUUUGUCCUCUUUUUCAAGAAAUUUCAAUUUGAGUUCCUGAUAGAGAAAUGGAUUUUUGUACUUCUUUUUCUGGACUACUUUGGACUGUUCAUCCUUGAGCUGAGGGUCUAUUGGAUUUCGGACUCUCUACCUCAAGGUAGUACACUCUACCCCUCCCCAGACCCCACCAUGGGACUACACUGGGUAUGUUGUUGUAGUAUAGAGCAAUGGAUUUUGGGCCUAACUCAACCCCAAAAGUUAGCUCAUGAGAUGAGGAUUGUCCAAGACCAUACAAAGAGACCAAUUUUUCCUCAUCCCACCAAAGUGGAACUCAACAGUUCCCAAGAAAAUGAUGGGAUAUACUCUAUCUUUUUAAUUCUUUACUGCCUACUAAACUAAAACUUUAAGCAACUAAACAACAAAACUGCUGGCAUUACUAAAGCUAAAAUACAUGUUAUCAAAAAACUCUUGUCAUCCAGCCUUCCUAUGAUCUUGUGACUAGGAGUGUCAUGAUUCAGCAAUAUUUUGUUUCAACAGCAUUCACCAACAUAUCUAUACCACUCUCUUUGGCUACAUAUCCAUGUGUUAAGUCCUCCAUCAGCUUCCGUACUCACUGCAUCUUAUACAAAUACUAUCUGCCGUCCUAGAUGGGCAAGUCCCAUGAGAAGGACAAAUCAUAGACUCCACACAUCAUUUUUUGCUAGUUUUCAGGACUCUUCUUCAAAAUCAUGCCAUUGUAGAGUAGAAAAGUAGAAAGGCGAAUAAUGGAUAUCAUUCAAAGAUUUAUGAAAUUUUGAGUAAAAUUACUUUCCAUCAAAUUGGUAUUAGAGCCAGGCCCCCAUAUUAAAUUGCUCGCGUUACAGAUGUCUAGCCCUGGGCAUGCGGAGGUGUGAAGAGUCCCACAUCGAUAAUGGGAAGGGAAUUUAGACUCUUGCAUGGUCUUGGGCAAUCCUCAACUCUUGAGAUAAGCUAGGCCCAAGGUCCAUUUAUUUAACAGUUGUCAAAGGCACAUCUUAACCUUUUUGAGUUUUUGCAAGUCAGAAGGGGGAUGUCACAUCUUUGCAUCCACUGCUUAAGAAGUGUUACGCUGUGAACUGCCGAUAAGGAGGUUACGGUAUCUGUGUCAAGAAACCAGGAGGAAACAUUGUAGGGUAGGGACAAUUAAAUAAUUUGAAGGUGGAAGGAAGGUGUGUUAGGGCAUAUGCAUAUAUCGCUCUCUAUCUGAAAGAUGAUGUCUGAUUACAUCUUAAACAUAGGAAGAUCAAGCAAAAUGGAGAAAAAGAAGACUAGGAAACAGAAACUAAACAGACAAUAUAAUAAGGUUGAUCACAAGCCAUAACUGAUUUGACAACAGCCUCCAUGUUUUCUCUUUAAUUUAAUAUUAUUUAUUGUACCUAUUACGCCAUUAAAUUAAAGAGAUUUGCAAGAAAUUCAUAUUUAUAAUUUCCUCUCAUCCUUGUCCAAGAAUAAGUCAUCAACAUAUUUUCAAUGACAGACAGAGAAAUAAACCGGAAUAGAAAUGAAAUAACAUAAACUCAAAAUUGAAAAGAUCAUUUAAAAUCCAGGACAAAAGGAGAACCUCUGCAAAAGAGCUGAAGUUAUUCUUGGAUGCAAUAGGUUCCAUCCGUGCUUUUAGUUGCUCACAUGCAUCCAGUACUGCAGCUCCAUACAGGUCAGAACUUACAGAAGCAGCUGUUGCUGAGGCAUUUGGAACCUGGAUUGGCGAAAAAGCCGAUGAGACAAGCAAUAAUUUUCAUAAAGCGAAUAACAAAAAUGGCAUGCAUGAUGCAACACAAGGAUUUUGAAUAAAAUUUGAUGUGCUAUGAAGAAUUUCCUGCCCCUCUCCCUAUCCAAGGAACAAAGCAUCGUUGAUCCAAGGAAGAUCAAUUUUGCCUUCUCUGAAGAUAGUUAUUAUAUACUUUAAAAUUUUCAGGUUGCCAGUAAAGGCAGUGGCAAAGCUCAAUAUCUACAGAAACUGAAUAAAAUUUAGAAUAUGUUCAAGUUCUUAAUAUCGGUUAUUCAACUUCUUGUUUAGUUCAUUAUCUCUCAUCGCCAUCUAGCACAUUCCUAGCUCUUUCUCUCAUCACAGCAUAAUUUUAGAAUCAAAAUAAGUGUUAAGUCACAUGAUUCCCAGUUUCUUCACCAAUAGAAAAUUAGAAGCUUCAAACGAUGAUAUACUGUUAUUUGUCUCACACCCAAUACCUUGUCAGUACUUGUCUCUGAAAUGAACACUGCAUUUAGAGGGAUAUUAAAGGAAGAUGCAGCAAUCUGGCCAAGCUUUGUAUGCAAACCUUGGCCCAUCUCCACACCCCCAUGAGUGACUAACACAGUUCCAUCUGUGUAAACUUGAACAAGAGCACCUGCCUGUAGUGAAUCAGUCAGUGAAUAACCAACAUAAAUAUUUGGGAUUAUACUUUAUCAUAAAAUAAAUAUAUGAAAAACUCAGCAUCGAACAAAGUACUGUUUACGAAGAACCGGAGACAAUAGCUUGGGUUGGUCAGCAAACCUUUGCUGAAAGCAGUGUCCAGAUAAAAUAAAGGCAAUAUAAUUGAUAUCCUCAUUUACACAAAGGAACAAGGACCUAUGUGGGAACUCUAGGUUGUACAGCAAAGACAUCAACUUACCUGGUUAACAAACUUCGUUGUGAAAGAUAUCCCAAGGUUGGUUGGCACCAUGGCAAUACCUCGCUUUUUCCAUCGAUUAUGUCGAUUGAAAUUUUCAACUUCUUUUUGAGCAUUAAUGAAGUCACAAGAAGAUUUCAAUUCAUUCCAGACUCUCCCCAAGGUGCAGUCUUCAACUUUCUGACCAUAAUAUAAGAUUGAUCCUUUACUGACAAAAUUCAUUUCCUGGUGAAAAAGAGAAACAAUUUCUAUAUAUAACCUGUGAGACUAAAGAAAGCAAGGGACAAUGAAGCAGCUGACAUGCAUCUCAUAUGAAGAAAGACUAGUUAGAAAAUCAUCAGAAGCACAAGGCAUACCCUUAUUUCUUCAGGGAUUUUGUUAACUUCCAUGCCAAUCCUCUCUAUCCAAUUCUCAACCAUUAACAUAACCUGUGGGGCCCCGAAUCCUCUAAAAGCUGUAUUACUAGGAAGAUUAGUGAAGCAGACAUUUCCAUAAACCCUCAUAUUUGGUAUGUCAUAUGCAUUGUUCCCUUGGAGCAUAGCACCUUCAAGUACAGUAAGUGAUAGAUCUAGAGAAUUUCCACCAUUAUUGUAGAUACUAAGAUCAAAGGCAAGCACCUUCCCCUCAUUUGUAAAACCAACCUAAAAAUAAGAAAAGAGUAGUCAAAUUAUUCAUCCAAUCCAAAAAAAAAUGCUACUUCCUCCGUUUCAUUUUAUGUGAACCAGUUUGACUGUGCACGGAGUUUAAGAAAGACAAACUUUUGAAACUAGUGGACUGAAACACGCCAUGACAUAUGCAUGGCUAUAAAAUCAUGUCAUUGAGGGUAAAAUGAGAAGUUUAAAGUUAAAUUAUUUCCAAAUAAUGCCUAAAGAACUCUCAUCUGUUUAUGUUGCUCAACAGUUCAAUGUCUUUCGGUAAAUUGGAAGGAAUACAUAUUCGUCCAUCACAACAUAUAUGACACACUUACCAUUUUGACACCCUCAAAUAACAAAAAAUUGUUCACCAGAUACUAGUACACAAAUUCAAAUUUAAACUAAUCCCAAAAGAUUUGACACACUCAAAUAACAAAAAAUUGUUCACCAGAUACUAGUACACAAAUUCAAAUUUAAACUACAAUAUCAUGUAUUUCCCAGAAACUCUUGAGAAUAAAUACCGCAGAAGUGAAUGAGUUAAACAAGCUUUCCCAUGCCAUACAAAUGUCGCAUGGAAUGGGUCUAGCUGUGUAUAACAUGAUCACAAACUCAUCUACUUACCUUGUACUUUCCGAAAAAGCUAUGCCGCUGCCCAGUUAUCUUCAUGUCUAUAUCCCUAUCCAGAAUGAGUUUCACUGGACGAUCCAACAGGUAUGAUGGAACAGCAACUGCAGCAGCAAGGAAAGCAGAUCUACUCUCCUUGCCUCCAAAUCCACCACCUAUCCUUUUAGUCUUGCAAACCACUUUUGACAUCGGAAGACCAAGAACGUGAGAAACAUACUCCUGGUGCUUCUGAGGAGCCUGCAAAAUAGACAAUGAUUCUGUCACCAAAUUUUCAGCAGAGAUAUUAAAUUACAGGGAUGUAGCAUUUUAAGCGGUUUCAACCUAAUUCAUAUGUCGAACCAAACCAGGCUUACAGCAUAAUAAUGAUCUGUAGAAUUCUAAACAAACUUAAGGAACUAACUAAGAUUGAAGUCAAAGAGAACACUCAUGAUUAUUUCUAAUCUGACAAUGCCAAACUUAGAUAAUUUUAAUCGAUCACACAUAUAUAUCAUGCGAGUGUGAGAAGCAAAAUUAUGCAGAGCAAAAUGAUGAACUUUAGCAGGGAGCUAUGCUAUUUAUAGUUAAAGAUAGGUUUUGCAUGAUUUUUUACUUUGCGUAAAAAAGUAGAGAGUAGCAGUACAGAAUAAGCAUUUUAAUAUGCAUAUCAUGGUAAAAUGUGUGCCAUUUGGGCCUUUCAAGAAUACAAAAAUAUGCAGUGUAUAUUCUUGUGUUUUCUAACAUACAUUAACAUCUAGUGCUCUUUGGAAAUAAGAGCAAUUUAUUAACUGAAAUUGACUUCCAUGACAGGAUUGAAGCUUUAUGAAGAAGAAAUGGCUGUCAAUUCAAUGGCCGAUGGAUAGCAAUUACACUUAUUACCACCUUUUUAAAGGGAUUAUUAAAAAUUACAUGUAACCAAGCAAACAACAGAUGUUAUGGGGAAAAAGAUAAACGAAGAACCCAACACCACAAUUGAUGUCCUAUAAACCAAAAUAUACUUGACAAACCAUGAGAAAAUAACUAGAUUUCUGUUGAAGUACCUGGGUAGAUGAGAGCAUGUGCACCUCAUUCCCACUAUCCACUGUCCAUAUUAAAGUGCCCUGAGGCUCCAAAUAAAAAUGUUCCUGACCACCUCCCCUAACUUCUCCUUCUAUAAUAUGGUCACAUUGACCUGAUUGAAAACACUGUUCAACAUCAUCCAUAUUCAGACGCCUUUCCGCAUUAGGAUGAUAACUGUUAGCCUGUAUAGCAUCCUCUACUGAUAAAACUGCAGGUAGCUCUUCAUACUCAACUUGAACUUUUCUAGCAGCAAGUUUUGCAUUUUCAUGUGUGUCAGCUACAACAACUCCGAUAACCUACAAAAUAAUAGUAUUCACCCAGAAAAUAAUAGGCCCAAGGUCCAUUUCUUUAACAUGAAUAUUAAUCUAUAUUAGGGUAUAGAUAUAUUUAAUCAUGGAAACAACAUCUCAAAGCAUGGUGUCAUACCUGACCCACACAAGUGACAAACUCCAUGGCAAAAACUUCUUAAUCAGCAACAAUUGCUCCAAUUUUGUUGUUACUAGGUACGUCUUUAGCCAAAAAUAUUCCAGCAAAUCCAGGAGAGGACUUGGCACCCGAAUCGUCUAUUGAAAGUAUAUGAGCAUGAGGUUUUUCGCUCAAUACCACAAUUGGGUGGCGUUGGCCCAUCAUCAAGAUAUUCUGCUUCUCCAGAUACCUGAAAAUGGUCACGUUUUCCAGCAAAAUAUUAAGUGGUGAUUUCGGAAAAGCAUAGCAGAUGAAGGACAACUAUUUUAUCAGAAUGCCAGUUCCAGAAUAGACAAACAAUUUCAAAGUUCAUACACUAUAGACAUCACGAUUAUAGUAAAAGUUUCCUUCCCAGAAGAAAGAGUUAUACCUAAGCAAAGUUAGAAGCAACAAACGGACCCAAAGUUGUUGGUAAUUAUUAAUAAAGUAAUACAAAAAUCCAUUUACUUAUUGGAUCCACGAAUAUUAAAGUGCACCAAUGGUGUUUAUCGAUAGAAAUAUGCUCCUACACAAGCCAGAAAACAAAUAAAAUGGGAAAAAGCUAAAACGUGAAACCACUACCCCAAACACAAUUUUUGAAAGCUAAAUGUCUUAGUAGGCAUUUUGCCAUAGAUUCCAAAUAUUUUUCAUUUUUUUGGAAUUUAUGGAGUUGGGGUUGGAGUUGUGUUUGAUUAUACUUUUUGUAAAGAAUAGUUAGUCUAAUGUUCAUGCUAAAUGUACUUAAAUUCAACUUCAAUAGUGAAAAGUGAGUUAAAAAUAGGUUAUAAGUUCUUUUAUCAAGUUAUGAACAUUGUUACCUGAAGCCUUGAUGAAAGAUGAGCCUCAGGGGAACCCACAGAAUUACCCUGCUUCUUAAUCUCAAAAUCCUGAACUGAACCAACGUAUGGUCGAAGAGGUGAAUCUACAGCUGAAAUAUGUGAAGCUGGAACUUUCUCAAUAAAUGAUGGUUGUCCAUCCAUUUGAUGACAAACCCACAAGAAAAAUUUGAAGAAGAAACUAAACGUUAGUGAUUUUCGGAAUUCAACCAUCCCACCCGAUGCAUCUUCCUUCAGCACAAUUUCCUCCCCUAACAUUUUCAAAGCACCAUGCAACAGCUCCUUGUUCCAAUUUUUCCCGACUAAAAAAUGACUAGUUUUUGAUGCAGCAAAUGAAAAUGGAGCGACCCCACCAUACACAAUCAAAGCAUCUGAAACUACCCAUUUCCGGUGCUUCUCUUCAAGGCAGACACGCAUCCCAGCAUUCACGAUGGCAAAAUCAUCAUCUCUUCUAUG
This 17040-nucleotide long non-coding RNA is filed under the name Solanum tuberosum (potato). RNAcentral's name for it is "long non-coding RNA (STUB_LNC010932)". Lineage: Eukaryota; Viridiplantae; Streptophyta; Magnoliopsida; Solanales; Solanaceae. The record is from RNAcentral.